RNAcentral lists this ribosomal RNA (408 nucleotides) under uncultured bacterium. Its description in RNAcentral is "partial 16S ribosomal RNA". It matches the Rfam family "Bacterial small subunit ribosomal RNA", at positions 28 to 526 of the family's 1533-position model. The record is from RNAcentral.
GACGAACGCUGGCGGCGUGCUUAACACAUGCAAGUCGAACGAAGUGGCGAACGGGUGAGUAACGCGUAAUCAACCUGCCCUUCAGAGGGGGACAACAGUUGGAAACGACUGCUAAUACCGCAUACUGAAGGAGGGGCUUGCGUUUGAUUCGCUAGUUGGGGGGGUAACGGCCCACCAAGGCGAGUAUCAGUAGCCGGGCUGAGAGGGUGAACGGCCCCAUGGGGACUUGAACACGGCCCAGACUCCGACGGGAGGCAGCAGUGGGGAAUCUUCCGCAAUGGACGAAAGUCUGACGGAGCAACGCCGCGUGAGUGAUGACGGCCUUCGGGUUGUAAAGCUCUGUUAAUCGGGACGCGGUACCGGAAUAGAAAGCCACGGCUAACUACGUGCCAGCAGCCGCGGUAAUUC